This 522-nucleotide ribosomal RNA is filed under the name uncultured bacterium. RNAcentral describes it as "bacterial SSU rRNA". It matches the Rfam family "Bacterial small subunit ribosomal RNA", at positions 9 to 520 of the family's 1533-position model. The record is from RNAcentral.
GAGUUUGAUCCUGGCUCAGAUUGAACGCUGGCGGCAGGCCUAACACAUGCAAGUCGAACGGUAACAGGAAGAAGCUUGCUUCUUUGCUGACGAGUGGCGGACGGGUGAGUAAUGUCUGGGAAACUGCCUGAUGGAGGGGGAUAACUACUGGAAACGGUAGCUAAUACCGCAUAACGUCGCAAGACCAAAGAGGGGGACCUUCGGGCCUCUUGCCAUCGGAUGUGCCCAGAUGGGAUUAGCUAGUAGGUGGGGUAACGGCUCACCUAGGCGACGAUCCCUAGCUGGUCUGAGAGGAUGACCAGCCACACUGGAACUGAGACACGGUCCAGACUCCUACGGGAGGCAGCAGUGGGGAAUAUUGCACAAUGGGCGCAAGCCUGAUGCAGCCAUGCCGCGUGUAUGAAGAAGGCCUUCGGGUUGUAAAGUACUUUCAGCGGGGAGGAAGGGAGUAAAGUUAAUACCUUUGCUCAUUGACGUUACCCGCAGAAGAAGCACCGGCUAACUCCGUGCCAGCAGCCGCGG